GACGAACGCUGGCGCCGCUCCUAACACAUGCAAGUCGAACGAGCGAGAGAGAGCUUGCUUUCUUGAGCGAGUGGCGAACGGGUGAGUAACGCGUGAGGAACCUGCCUCAAAGAGGGGGACAACAGUUGGAAACGACUGCUAAUACCGCAUAAGCCCACGACCCGGCAUCGGGUUGAGGGAAAAGGAGCAAUCCGCUUUGAGAUGGCCUCGCGUCCGAUUAGCUAGUUGGUGAGGUAACGGCCCACCAAGGCAACGAUCGGUAGCCGGACUGAGAGGUUGAACGGCCACAUUGGGACUGAGACACGGCCCAGACUCCUACGGGAGGCAGCAGUGGGGAAUAUUGCACAAUGGGGGAAACCCUGAUGCAGCGACGCCGCGUGGAGGAAGAAGGUCUUCGGAUUGUAAACUCCUGUUGUUGAGGAAGAUAAUGACGGUACUCAACAAGGAAGUGACGGCUAACUACGUGCCAGCAGCCGCGGUAAAACGUAGGUCACAAGCGUUGUCCGGAAUUACUGGGUGUAAAGGGAGCGCAGGCGGGAAGACAAGUUGGAAGUGAAAUCUAUGGGCUCAACCCAUAAACUGCUUUCAAAACUGUUUUUCUUGAGUAGUGCAGAGGUAGGCGGAAUUUCCGGUGUAGCGGUGGAAUGCGUAGAUAUCGGGAGGAACACCAGUGGCGAAGGCGGCCUACUGGGCACCAACUGACGCUGAGGCUCGAAAGUGUGGGUAGCAAACAGG
This 735-nucleotide ribosomal RNA is filed under the name uncultured bacterium. RNAcentral's name for it is "bacterial SSU rRNA". It matches the Rfam family "Bacterial small subunit ribosomal RNA", at positions 28 to 776 of the family's 1533-position model. The record is from RNAcentral.